This 253-nucleotide ribosomal RNA is filed under the name uncultured bacterium. RNAcentral describes it as "partial 16S ribosomal RNA". It matches the Rfam family "Bacterial small subunit ribosomal RNA", at positions 524 to 776 of the family's 1533-position model. The record is from RNAcentral.
UACGUAGGUGGCAAGCGUUGUCCGGAUUUACUGGGCGUAAAGAGCGCGCAGGCGGUCGUUCAAGUCGCGUGUGAAAGCCCCCGGCUCAACUGGGGAGGGUCACGCGAUACUGAUCGACUCGAAGGCAGGAGAGGGAAGCAGAAUUCCCGGUGUAGUGGUGAAAUGCGUAGGUAUCGGGAGGAAUACCAGUGGCGAAGGCGGCUUCCUGGCCUGUUCUUGACGCUGAGGCGCGAAAGCUAGGGUAGCAAACGGG